UUUUGGAGUAGUUUCCGAUCCACUUGGUGUUCACAUAUGCAUUCAAACUGAACCAGAGUUCACUUCAACCAAAUCCAGACCUAUAGCUAGCUGGCUUUUUCCAUCAAAGCGGAUCAGAGUUCACUUUUUUCAGAGUUCCUCAACCAAACCGGACUUUCUAGGCAAACGGACUGGAGUUGGAUUAAAGCGGAUUAAACAGAGCUGGUGGAAACGCAUCUUUAGUUUAAGCAUUUUUCAUUCAAAACACACAAAAAUGUCUGAACAUUAUGAGGUAAAGCAAUCCAAAAUGAAACUAAACAGUAACCGAAAACUGUUGGCGUCUGCAGCCGUGUAAACGCCAAGAUGAGUCAAGUGGAAACAUAUUGGAGGUAAAGUGAGUGAAGAAAGAUAAUAUUUUACCAACAACACAAUAACAUUAUGCCAAGUAGAUUGGAAAGUGCAGGGAAGAAGACAAACUCCAGCAGAAGUGUUUAUUUAUAACACAAAUUCUCAUUCAGUGCUUGUUUUAUUUUUACCGCAGUCGUUCGCGGCGCAUGUUUUAAACCAGCGUGGAGUGAGAAGCAGCCGUGAAGCCUGCUAACUCAGCCGCGUCCCCACAUAUCCUUUCCAGAUGCUGGCUAGACUGGCUGGAGCCGGGGCCCACUGCACCGGGGGCCGGAUCGUCUUUUCCUCCAGGUGUGAUGCCUCACGCUGAUUCCCCCCACAUGCUGCAGUGGCCUAAUCCAAACACAGGGGAUGGUGACAGCGCUAGGCCUCCGCCAGCCACCCACACCGCCGCAGCGUCUCAUCACAACACUUCCUCCUUCGACUCGGCGUAACGAACGAACGCCACUGAGGCUGGAGCCCAUCAGCUGUUGCUUUAGGAACUGAAUCGCAUCUAAACUGGUGGUUCUCUAGGCCUGGUCAGUUUAAGACAACCAGAGGCAACAGCAGAGUAGCCAAACAUUAUACUGAGGUUUGUACAGACUGACGUGGCUCCUGCCAGUGAGCGAGUCGACUGUCAUAACUUCUCCCUAUGAGUCGACGCCAUGUAAAUGAUUUCCUGAUGUUUGAACCAAAGCUGCUGUGAUUAGACGCACUGGAUCAAGGCUUCAGCCCGGACAGAUUGGGAAGCCGUUAUGGCGGCACAGAAGUUGAGGGAGAAGCUAUUUAUCCCAGACGGAUCAGGAGGUGUGUGACGGAGGUGUGGACGGUUGCUGCAGGUCAGUGACGUUGGCAGGCGCCAGGCAGGCCGGCCCACAUGGCUCGGGGACUGUGGGACUACAGACAGAUGGCACCUGGUGGGUGACAAACAAUUAACAAACCAACAAGAAUAGCUGGAUCGGCACUAUACCCACAAGCGCAGGAGAUAGCUAGAGAGCGGGUGCAUCUGUGCUCCGAACACUUCUGCUCUUUACUUUUUCUCUCCCCGAGACUUGUUUUGUAUAACAGUUGCAAUUUAACCAUGUGUCUUUCUCACAAAAACACCCUCGUCGUUGUGUUGCUUUAGAACGGUCUAAAUAAAGCAGUGCUGAGCAUAUGCAA
RNA transcript from Xiphophorus couchianus (Monterrey platyfish), 1524 nucleotides. RefSeq lists it as uncharacterized. The transcript has 3 exons. NCBI's taxonomy places the organism in Eukaryota, Metazoa, Chordata, Actinopteri, Cyprinodontiformes, Poeciliidae. The record is from RefSeq and is a predicted model, not a curated record.